UACGUAGGGCGCAAGCGUUAUCCGGAAUUAUUGGGCGUAAGAGCUCGUAGGCGGUUGUCGCGUCUGCCGUGAAGUCCGGGCUCAACUCCGGAUCUGCGGUGGGUACGGGCAGACUAGAGUGAUGUAGGGAGACUGGAAUUCCUGGUGUAGCGGUGAAAUGCGCAGAUAUCAGGAGGAACACCGGUGGCGAAGGCGGUCUCUGGACAGUUCCUGACACUGAGACACGAAGGCCAGGGAGCAAACGGG
RNAcentral lists this ribosomal RNA (246 nucleotides) under uncultured bacterium. RNAcentral describes it as "partial 16S ribosomal RNA". It matches the Rfam family "Bacterial small subunit ribosomal RNA", at positions 524 to 776 of the family's 1533-position model. The record is from RNAcentral.